GCUUCCAGCCAUACCACCCUGAACAUACCCAGUCGUGUCUGAGCUUGGAAGCUAAGCUGGGUUGGUCCUGGUUAGUGUUUGGAGGUCGCUCGUGCAGCUGUGGGCU
RNAcentral lists this ribosomal RNA (106 nucleotides) under Neolamprologus brichardi. Lineage: Eukaryota; Metazoa; Chordata; Actinopteri; Cichliformes; Cichlidae. The record is from RNAcentral.